Molecule: non-coding RNA, 519 nt
Organism: Odocoileus virginianus texanus
Lineage: Eukaryota; Metazoa; Chordata; Mammalia; Artiodactyla; Cervidae
Source: RefSeq, a predicted model, not a curated record
AUGAAUGAACACAUUUCCUGUCCACAGGGUAGAAUUUCACUUGGAAAUAGUCCCUGGCCUCGGCCAGGGCAUCAGGUCCAUGUCCCAUUUCAGGACACUUCAAGGGAGCAGAAGGAACAGCUGUUGAGCAGAUGAAAUGCUACUUGCUGUCAGCACCUUUCCUCAGCGAGCUAACCCGUUCCCUGCCGGGUCACUGCUCUGGGACGCUGUCAGGCAUGAUCCUGCAGACUUCCACUAGCCGGAUUUUCACCCUUUUAUCAGCAGCAAAUACCAAAAGCGUGGACUCCUUUAGGACUUCUGGCUUCACCUCCCAUGAAGAGUAACCACAGACAGGAAAGACCCUGUCAAAAUGCAAAUGUUGCUGCUACCCGGAGAGGGUAACACGUGAACUUAUUACCAUCCAUUAUCGCCUGAGUGCCGUUUAUCAGCUUCCCAGCUGAGACAGGGCCCCCGGGAGAAAGAAGGGUGCCAAGCAGAUUAUCUCUAUUCCCUGGAGACACCAGCGGACAAGAGAGGAAG